UACGUAGGGACCGAGCGUUGUCCGGAAUCAUUGGGCGUAAAGAGCGUGUAGGCGGCCACUUAAGUCCUGCGUGAAAUCCUGCGGCUCAACCGCAGGCGGUCGUGGGAAACUGGGUGGCUAGAGUGCGGGAGAGGAGAGUGGAAUUCCUGGUGUAGCGGUGGAAUGCGCAGAUAUCAGGAAGAACACCCGUGGCUAAGGCGGCUCUCUAGUACGGUACUGACGCUGAGACGCGAAAGCGUGGGGAGCGAACAGG
RNAcentral lists this ribosomal RNA (253 nucleotides) under uncultured bacterium. RNAcentral describes it as "partial 16S ribosomal RNA". It matches the Rfam family "Bacterial small subunit ribosomal RNA", at positions 524 to 776 of the family's 1533-position model. The record is from RNAcentral.